UUUUGUUUCUUGUUUCACACAAAGCACGACCACCACCAUUCACAAAUUCACCAUAUCACCAUUCUCUGGUAUUAAAAAAUAAAUUAAAUAAAAAAAGACAUGACAUUUUGCAUUGUUACACCUCUACUUUUUCUCCCAUUUGAAACGACUCACAUGCUUUUCCUUCAGUUCCUCAGAAAAUGUGUUGUUCAUCAUACUAUUUCUUGUUGGCCCUCCAAACCCUUGUGAUCUCUCUCUUUUCCAAGAUUCACUUUCCCAUUAUUAUAUAUAUACAUACAUACACUUAACCCUCAUCCCAUCCCCCUAGACAACCUCUCUCUCUCUCUCAGCUACCCAACGUGUUUUGUUUUCUCCACACUUCGGAAUGAAAAGAGCAGCGUACUACAGUUGCGUACCCCAAAUGCAGGAUCAUUGGCCUAUCAAGAAGGCUCUGACAUUGUCAGAUGUAGAUAUCACUCAUCCAUUCCUCACUUUGUCUAGGCAACAAGUGGAGAAUCACAUUGUGUUGCAUAUGACAACAGAACAACAGGAGCAUUUGAGAGCCCAAGGCCAAGUAGAUUUUAAUGCCCGAGAUGAUGAUACAGGUGAGAUGUAUGUGAUGAAGUUGAAAUGGCGGGGAAGCUAUUACAAUCUUAUUGGUAAGUGGGGCAGAGUGGUACGAGGGAAAGGACUUGAUGUUGGGCAAGAGAUUAAAAUACGUUGGGAAAAUGGAUGCUUGCACUUCUCAGUCCCACAGCAGCAGAUUGUUGCAGUCCCACCAAUUCGGAUGGUUGCAGCACCAGUAGUGCAGGACCACUGGCCCAUUAAGAAGAUCUUGACACUCUCUGAUGUGGACACUAAUCAUCCAUUUCUCCCUCUGCCCCGCCGAUUAGUUGAGGAUCAUAUUCUUGUGUAUUGGACACCUCAGCAACAAGAACAGCUGAGGAAGGAGGAGCAUGUGAAUGUAAAUGCCCGAGAUUAUGAUACUGGCGAAGGUUAUAUAAUGAAAUUUAAGUGGAGGGGGAAUUACUAUAACCUUAUUGGGAAAUGGGGAACAAUAAUUCGGCAGAAGGGACUUGGUGUUGGGAAAGAGAUCAGGUUGCGCUGGGCAAAUGAAUGCUUGUUCUUCUCAGUUCCCCAGGAGCGGUAUGUUGCCACAGCCUCGGGGAUGGAUAACUGGCCUAUUAAGAAGGCACUUACAUUGUCUGAUGUGGAUACCAAUCAUCCAUUUCUUACUUUGCCCGGCAAGGCUGUUGAAGAUCAUAUUCUUUUUUACUGGUCACAGCAAUCCAGAGAACAACUGAGAAGUGAACAUCAGAUGAAUAUCAAUGCUCGAGAUGAUGACACUGGUGAUGCCUAUUUGAUGAAGUUGAGAUGGCGGGGAAGUUACUAUAAUCUCAUUGGAAAAUGGGGAAAAAUCAUUAGAGGGAAGAAACUUCAGGUUGGAAUGGAGAUCAGACUACGCUGGGAUAAUGGAUGCUUAUUCUUUUCAGUUCCUCAGUUAUAGCAUUGGUCAACAUGUGAAUGUAGCUAACCACCAAACUGCUUUUCCCAUUUCAACAUGGAAUGUGCACUAGAAAUUGAACUAUUUCAGCUGAAUGGCUUGGCAGAGCUGGAUUUAAAUCUAUCCAGGCAGCAAGUAACUGAUCAAGCACAAAUUUUAUCAGGCACUAAGAUGGGCUGGGAUAGUGCGCCAACUUUUUCUCAAGUCCUUGCUCCAUUUUUUUUUAUCAGGGAAAACAGUUUCAUUUCAUAAAUCAAAGGCCAAAAUCAGCCGUAUACCUAAGAGUAAGGAAGCUACAAAAAGAUAUGGUUCUCUAUAAAAGACAUCUGAUCCUCUAUACAACAGGGAAGGGUGCACCCAAAAUAAAUAAGGGAUUGGAGACUGCUCCGCAACUGCACAAAACUCAAUUUUAUCCCUUCAAAAGCCCUCUCAUUUUUCUCUCUCCAAAUGAUCCACGGCAAAGCCAGAGGAAUAACAUUCCAUGCCUGCUCUUCCUCCUGCUUCUUCCAGCUUUCCAGGAAAACACAGAUCCUUCGCUGGAUUUGCAUCACCCAGAGACAUACAAGACCAACUGAACAUAUUCCACCAGAGUCUCAAGGCCAGACUGCAGUAUAGUAGGUUGCAGUGUGGUAGAAGAUGAUUUGCCUCCUUGCGUAAGUAACACCAGCUGAUACAAACAACCUUCCUUUUCAGAAGGUUUUCUGCAGUUAAAAUCACUGCUCUAGCAGCUAAUAAUGUGAAUAAGUACACCUUCCUAGGCACCUUAGGUAUCCAAAUUGACUUUACAUGAAAAACCUUCUCUGCUUUCACCAAAAGCUUUUCGUAAAAGGACUUGACAGGAAAAAUGUUUUUGUUCCCGAACUUCCAUCUCAUGGUAUCAGCUAUUUCAACUGGCUCACAAUGCUCUCGAGUCCCUGUUCAUUUGUUGUUCCAACAUUCUAGCAGCUCAGAUAGAUGACUAGUGUUCCUUAACAUUCACAAUUGCAUUUGAUUGUGCUGAUUCAAUGACUUAUCCAGCUUAAUCAUUUCCUUCUAAAAUCCCAUUUCAAAGAAUUUUUUGAACAAAAAAACCCAGCUUUACAUUGUCAUGUUUUGCCAUUGUCGAGUUUGCACAUUAUACCUAGUUUGUGUUCCCUCCUCCAGCUGUCUAAGCAUUCAUUUGCUAUGAGCACCGCAUCUAUAAUUUGUCUCCUUUUAAUAAGUUCCAUCAACCUGUUUGGUAACUACUUUUUUAAUCUUUCCGUGGGGCGCUUUGCAAACAUCUUAUAGAAACUAUCAACAUGACUGAUAGGUCUAAAAGAUCCAAAGAUCAGUAUGAUUUGUGAAUUGAACUCCUGGAACUCCCAUCUUUUCGUGGUUUCGAUCUAGAUUGCCUUCCAACGAUGAUGUUCAAGGAACACGCACACAAGCACAUACAAAAUGUUACUCCCUUUGUCCCAUUUUAUAUGACAGACUUCCCUUUUUAGUAUGUCCCAAAAAAAAUUCACACAUUUCUAUAGUAGAAGCAAUUUAACUCUUAAUGACAUGAUUUUAUAGCACCAUAGAAAUAUCAUUUUAAAACAAAAAGUUUCUCGAGUCUUUAUUUCUUUCGUAACACUUCGUGUCCUGUACCGCCACAGAAAAUGGGAUGGAGAGUAAUAUUUUCUUGGAAGUUGGGUGGGGGUAUCAAUGUGGAGAAAAUUUGUUCGCAGUCCCAAACAGUGUGUUUCCAAUCUCUCUCCCACUUCUGCACAGGACCAAAGCAAAUACGAAUGUUGACCAAACAAGGUUUGGGUUGGUGUGUUACUGUUGGAGAAAUUUGCUCAGUCCCAGAUGUUGCAUUCUCUAACCUGCCACUUGUCUAGCAGACCAAUUGAAGACAAAUGUGGGAUGAAACAGUACUUUCUGUGAGAGGACAGUUUGGUCUUUUGAUUUCUUUUCUUUGCAAAUUUAUUUAUUUGUUACUCAAACUAGAUUAUUUUGGUCCAUUUCCUGCUUGUUGAUAAUACUUAUAUAGUGGCAUUCAUUUGUUUUUUUUCCCCUAAAUAAUUUUUGUCUAAGAUAUUUGUAAAUAUUCUAUAAUUUAUGCCUUAGAUCAGGGAAUACACAAUA
This is an RNA transcript of Capsicum annuum, 3574 nucleotides long. RefSeq lists it as uncharacterized. The record is from RefSeq and is a predicted model, not a curated record. The transcript is spliced from 3 exons. Lineage: Eukaryota; Viridiplantae; Streptophyta; Magnoliopsida; Solanales; Solanaceae.